Molecule: ribosomal RNA, 440 nt
Filed under: uncultured bacterium
Lineage: Bacteria
Description: partial 16S ribosomal RNA
Rfam family: Bacterial small subunit ribosomal RNA
Source: RNAcentral
CCUACGGGUGGCAGCAGUGGGAAAUAUUGCACAAUGGGGGAAACCCUGAUGCAGCGACGCCGCGUGAGUGAAGAAGUAAUUCGUUAUGUAAAGCUCUAUCAGCAGGGAAGAAAAUGACGGUACCUGAGUAAGAAGCCCCGGCUAACUAGGUGCCAGCAGCCGCGGUAAUAUGUGGGGGGCAAGCGUUAUCCGGUUUUACUGGGUGUAUAGGGAGCGUAGACGGGAGGGCAAGUCUGGGGUGAAAGGCGGGGGCGCAACCCCCGGACGGCUUUGGAAACUGUACGGCUGGGGGGCAGGAGAGGUAAGUGGAAUUCCUGGGGUAGCGGGGAAAUGCGUAGGUAUUAGGAGGAACACCAGGGGCGAGGGCGGCUUACUGGACUGUAACUGACGUGGAGGCUCGAAGGCGUGGGGAGCAAACAGGAUUAGAUACCCUAGUAGUC